UACGGAGGGGGCUAGCGUUGUUCGGAAUUACUGGGCGUAAAGCGCACGUAGGCGGCUAUUUAAGUCAGGGGUGAAAGCCUGGGGCUCAACCUCAGAACUGCCUUUGAGACUGGGUAGCUAGAACACGGGAGAGGUGAGUGGAAUUCCGAGUGUAGAGGUGAAAUUCGUAGAUAUUCGGAAGAACACCAGUGGCGAAGGCGGCUCACUGGACCGUUGUUGACGCUGAGGUGCGAAAGCGUGGGGAGCAAAC
Molecule: ribosomal RNA, 250 nt
Filed under: uncultured bacterium
Lineage: Bacteria
Description: partial 16S ribosomal RNA
Rfam family: Bacterial small subunit ribosomal RNA
Source: RNAcentral